RNAcentral lists this ribosomal RNA (543 nucleotides) under Leptolyngbya sp. HMOS10. RNAcentral's name for it is "bacterial SSU rRNA". It matches the Rfam family "Bacterial small subunit ribosomal RNA", at positions 862 to 1406 of the family's 1533-position model. The record is from RNAcentral. Lineage: Bacteria; Bacillati; Cyanobacteriota; Cyanophyceae; Leptolyngbyales; Leptolyngbyaceae.
AAGUUGUCCGCCUGGGGAGUACGCACGCAAGUGUGAAACUCAAAGGAAUUGACGGGGGCCCGCACAAGCGGUGGAGUAUGUGGUUUAAUUCGAUGCAACGCGAAGAACCUUACCAAGGCUUGACAUCCUCGGAACCCUGAUGAAAGUUAGGGGUGCCUUCGGGAGCCGAGAGACAGGUGGUGCAUGGCUGUCGUCAGCUCGUGUCGUGAGAUGUUGGGUUAAGUCCCCCAACGAGCGCAACCCCCGUUUUUAGUUGUCAGCACUCAGUGGGGCACUCUAGAGAGACUGCCGGUGACAAACCGGAGGAAGGUGGGGAAGACGUCAAGUCAGCAUGGCCCUUAUGCCUUGGGCCACACACGUACUACAAUGCGUCGGACAGAGGGCAGCAAGCCAGCGAGGGGGAGCCAAUCCCAAAAACCGACGCUCAGUUCAGAUUGCAGGCUGCAACUCGCCUGCAUGAAGGCGGAAUCGCUAGUAAUCGCAGAUCAGCAUACUGCGGUGAAUACGUUCCCGGGCCUUGUACACACCGCCCGUCACACCAUG